Molecule: ribosomal RNA, 314 nt
Filed under: uncultured eukaryote
Lineage: Eukaryota
Description: partial 18S ribosomal RNA
Rfam family: Eukaryotic small subunit ribosomal RNA
Source: RNAcentral
CCCCUAGAUGUUCUGGGCCGCACGCGCGCUACACUGAACAGUUCAACAAGUCUUAACCUUGGCCGAUAGGUCUGGGUAAUCUUUGAACGCUGGUCGUGAUGGGGAUAGACUUUUGCAAUUUUUGGUCUUCAACGAGGAAUUCCUAGUAAACGCAAGUCAUCAACUUGCAUUGAUUACGUCCCUGCCCUUUGUACACACCGCCCGUCGCACCUACCGAUUGAAUGGUCCGGUGAAGCCUCCGGAUUGGCGCGCACCUCGGUGCCGCCGAGAAGUUGGCUAGACCUUACCAUUUAGAGGAAGGUGAAGUCGUAACA